CCACACUGUAAACGAUGAUAACUAGGUGUGGGGGGUCUGACCCCUUCCGUGCCGCAGCAAACGCAAUAAGUUAUCCACCUGGGGAGUACGACCGCAAGGUUGAAACUCAAAGGAAUUGACGGGGACCCGCACAAGCAGUGGAUUAUGUGGUUUAAUUCGAAGCAACGCGAAGAACCUUACCAGCACUUGACAUCCGACUAACGAAGUAGAGAUACAUUAGGUGCCCUUCGGGGAAAGUCGAGACAGGUGGUGCAUGGUUGU
This 261-nucleotide ribosomal RNA is filed under the name uncultured bacterium. RNAcentral's name for it is "partial 16S ribosomal RNA". It matches the Rfam family "Bacterial small subunit ribosomal RNA", at positions 795 to 1052 of the family's 1533-position model. The record is from RNAcentral.